RNAcentral lists this ribosomal RNA (301 nucleotides) under uncultured bacterium. RNAcentral describes it as "partial 16S ribosomal RNA". It matches the Rfam family "Bacterial small subunit ribosomal RNA", at positions 509 to 807 of the family's 1533-position model. The record is from RNAcentral.
CAGCCGCCACGGUAAUACGUAGGUGGCAAGCGUUGUCCGGAAUUAUUGGGCGUAAAGGGCUCGCAGGCGGUUUCUUAGGUCUGAUGUGAAAGCCCCCGGCUCAACCGGGGAGGGUCAUUGGAAACUGGGAAGCUUGAGUGCAGAAGAGGAGAGUGGAAUUCCACGUGUAGCGGUGAAAUGCGUAGAGAUGUGGAGGAACACCAGUGGCGAAGGCGACUCUCUGGUCUGUAACUGACGCUGAGGAGCGAAAGCGUGGGGAGCGAACAGGAUUAGAUACCCCCGUAGUCCCUGUCUCUUAUAC